GAAGUCGGAUGCUAUACAUGCAGUCGAGCGAACAGAAAAGGAGCUUGCUCCUUUGACGUUAGCGGCGGACGGGUGAGUAACACGUGGGCAACCUACCCUAUAGUUUGGGAUAACUCCGGGAAACCGGGGCUAAUACCGAAUAAUCUCUUUUGCUUCAUGGUGAAAGACUGAAAGACGGUUUCGGCUGUCGCUAUAGGAUGGGCCCGCGGCGCAUUAGCUAGUUGGUGAGGUAACGGCUCACCAAGGCGACGAUGCGUAGCCGACCUGAGAGGGUGAUCGGCCACACUGGGACUGAGACACGGCCCAGACUCCUACGGGAGGCAGCAGUAGGGAAUCUUCCACAAUGGGCGAAAGCCUGAUGGAGCAACGCCGCGUGAGUGAAGAAGGUUUUCGGAUCGUAAAACUCUGUUGUAAGGAAAAAACAAGUACAGUAUUAUGUGCGUGUACCUUGACGG
This 455-nucleotide ribosomal RNA is filed under the name Lysinibacillus fusiformis. RNAcentral describes it as "bacterial SSU rRNA". It matches the Rfam family "Bacterial small subunit ribosomal RNA", at positions 39 to 475 of the family's 1533-position model. The record is from RNAcentral. Lineage: Bacteria; Bacillati; Bacillota; Bacilli; Caryophanales; Bacillaceae.